AAGCUCUCGGUUGGUGCUCGGUGACGAUGUGCAGCGGGUGCGGUGCUCCACCUCCCGGCAGCCGCUCUGAUGUGCAAGGGAAGAGCUCCAGCUGCGGUUUGGCCUGGUGAGAUGCUGCAUGGCAACGUUUCCUUCCUUGUAAAAUAAUUGCUGAGUUCCACCACGUCCAACAGAGUGAAAUUCCGGGGUCAGGUGCAGCUGAAAUCUCAGUGCUGUGCACUCUCUGACGGAGAGAGCGUGGAUACGAAAGCUGCAUGUGGGAUUUGGCUGCUGUGUAUCACUGCCCCGUGGAACAGCCCACCCAACCCUUCCUGUUUGCUCACUGUUUUCAUAUACCUUCGCCCUCUUCUUAUCUACAUGAGCCAACCCUGAACUGCUUCCCUCUUUGCUGCACGUUUGUGUUCUGGCAGAUCAGGAUGGUUUUGUGGCACUUGCACACACUUGUGCCAGCACCAGACACCAGGGCAGAGCUGCAGGCAGGGGCAGCAGGAGAAGGAACUGCCUGUUUCCAUUGCAAGUGCUGGGUGAAAGUUCUACUCCAAGUUGCAUUCAUAGAAUCAUAGAGUGGGUUAGACUGAAAGCCCCGGACUUCCUGACUGACCCACUAUGAACCACUGCUGCUCUGCACACAUUAUUUCCUCUCUUUGAAAGAAAAAAAAGAAAGAAAGCACAGAAGAACUUACCCACAAUCUGGCAGCGCC
This 701-nucleotide long non-coding RNA is filed under the name Gallus gallus (chicken). RNAcentral's name for it is "lncRNA (ENSGALG00010010292.1)". Lineage: Eukaryota; Metazoa; Chordata; Aves; Galliformes; Phasianidae. The record is from RNAcentral.